Long non-coding RNA from Mesoplodon densirostris (Blainville's beaked whale), 1056 nucleotides. RefSeq lists it as uncharacterized. The record is from RefSeq and is a predicted model, not a curated record. The transcript has 4 exons. Lineage: Eukaryota; Metazoa; Chordata; Mammalia; Artiodactyla; Ziphiidae.
CUGAGCCGCGUCCUCGCGCCGCAGGCGCUGCCGGCGCCCGGCUUGGCCGCGCCGCUCUCCUCGCCGCCGGCCCACUCCUCGUCCUGCAGCGGCGGCCGUCCAUCCAGCGAGAUGUUGACUGAGGAUGCAGCCCCUGAUUUAAAUGCAUACCCGAGGGUGCAUAAGAACCCAGGCGCGAACAUCAAACGUGUGGCCAGACUAAUUGAUACAUCUCCAUUUGAUGGUGCUGUCAGUUUUCAUCUCUUUCUUAGCAAAGGCCAACAUAAAUUUUUACUUCGGCCCAGAAACGUGCUCCGUUUUCCAUGAAGACCAAGGAAGAAGAGAAUGAUGUCUCCUUCAUCUCAACCUAUAAGGCUCGCUUCAAAUGAUACUUUCUCCACAGACCCUCCCUGACUUCCACUGUGUGAACACUGAGUUUUUCCCCAUCUCACAAGGGCUCAUGCCUGCCCUGUUGUCCUGGCUCCGGCAACAGUGGGAGAGACUCAGCAGCCUGGGAUCCAGAAGUGACCUGCUGGCUAUGUUGGUGACGCUGGACAAACAGCUGGGCCAUAGACCACAUACUUGAGGAAUGUUUUCCCAGCCUGGCCAGGGGAGGCUGCGCACUGUCCCGGUUUGUUCAUCUGCUUUCUGCAGCCAGUGUAGAAGAAGCAGGUCCAGCUUUUUCUUUUCCAGGGGCCGUUGUCACAAAUCGAUGAUAUGUACCUCCCAUUCAAAGUUCUUCACAUAUUGUUAUGCUAUAUAAAAAUCACAUUCUAUUUGUCAUUUAUGUUUUUUAGAAUCAAAGUGUGUUCACUAUGCAAAGAUGAGUUGACAACAUAUUCUCUAAACAUAGCUGAAGAAUGUUAAGAAACCGGAAUAGGAUUUUAGAGAGAAGCACACUUGCUUUCAAUGAGUAAAACUCCAUGUGCUUGGGGUAUGAAUAAGCCUGAACAUCAUAAUUCAUUUUAAUAUUUGUCUUUGAUCUGCUUUUUGCAUAAUGAUCAAUCAACAGACAUUUGAGUGACUACUUGAAGAACCUUUGAUGUAGAAAAUGCUAGGCUAGAAUCAUGUUCUCGU